GAGUGUCAGGUUAAUUCUAUAUCGAGCCCACCCCUGUGUAGUUGCCAGCGAGUCAGGUCGGGAACUACAAACGAGAUGCCAGGGCCACUGUGAGGAAGGUGGGAUGACGUCAAAUCAUCAAAAAACCUACGCCUUGGGCUACACACGUGCUACGAUGGCCGGUACAGAGGAGCAGCCACCUCGCGAGGGGGAGCGAAUCUAUAAAACCGGUCACAGUUCGGAUCGGAGUCUGCAACUCAACUCCGUGAAGCUGGAAUCGCUAGUAAUCGGAUAUCAGCCAUGAUCCGGUGAAUACGUUCCCGGGCCUUGUACACACCGCCCGUCAAGCCAUGGAAGCUGGGGGUGCCUGAAGUAGAGUGACCGCAAGGAGCUGCCUAGGGUAAAACUGGUAACUAGGGCUAAGUCGUAACAAGGUAACAAGUCGUAGAGUUUGAUCAUGGCU
This 442-nucleotide ribosomal RNA is filed under the name uncultured soil bacterium. RNAcentral describes it as "bacterial SSU rRNA". It matches the Rfam family "Bacterial small subunit ribosomal RNA", at positions 1070 to 1533 of the family's 1533-position model. The record is from RNAcentral.